RNAcentral lists this ribosomal RNA (253 nucleotides) under uncultured bacterium. RNAcentral describes it as "partial 16S ribosomal RNA". It matches the Rfam family "Bacterial small subunit ribosomal RNA", at positions 524 to 776 of the family's 1533-position model. The record is from RNAcentral.
UACGUAGGGGGCAAGCGUUGUCCGGAAUCAUUGGGCGUAAAGCGCGCGUAGGCGGCCCGGUAAGUCCGCUGUGAAAGUCAAAGGCUCAACCUUUGAAUGUCAGCGGAUACUGCCGGGCUAGAGUCCGGAAGAGGCGAGUGGAACUCCUGGUGUAGCGGUGGAAUGCGUAGAGAUCGGGAAGAACAUCAGUGGCGAAGGCGGCCUGCUGGGCUGUUGCUGACGCUGAGGCGCGACAGCGUGGGGAGCAAACAGG